RNAcentral lists this long non-coding RNA (4758 nucleotides) under Androctonus crassicauda. The record is from RNAcentral. Lineage: Eukaryota; Metazoa; Arthropoda; Arachnida; Scorpiones; Buthidae.
UUUGUUCUUUUGCGCACUUCCUCUCAUCUGUUUGAUAAGGUAGCGAGAGAGAGAGAGAGAGAGAGGAUAUUAUCAUCGAAUGACUUAACCGCUUCCUGCCUCGCUUGUUUAAGAUAAUACAGAUGUUCUUAAGUUGUAGUCAUUCGGUUAAAUGGCAUUUUAUUUAAAUAAUUAUGAAUAGAACUAAUUUAAAAUUCUCGGCAGUUGUAACUUAAACAAAUCAUGAUUUAAAUCAAAUUUUCAUCAUCAUUUGCAUAAUUUACUUCCGAGCGACGCGAUUUUCGCUUUGCGCGAAUCGCGUCGCAUAUUCUGCUCAUUUACUUUUUUCCCCUCUCCUCCCCCUUUCCUCACUUCUCGAACCUCGCACUAUUUUUAUACUCUGCGAAGAUCUGGACAUCCAUCUAAUGAUGAAGGGCUUCCUAAAUUGCAAGAGGAAACUGUUUAUUUUUUGAAUUUACGACGCGUAUCCGAAUUACACCGAAAGCAUCACUGGAAGAGAGGGAAAGAAAAAUUUCUCAAAAAAAAUUUUUUUUUAUUAUAUACAGAAUUCGAUCUAAAUUUAUCAUUCUAAAUAAGAAAAUUAUACACUUAUUUAAGUUAUAAAAGGCAAAUUGCCCUAGUUUUCACAUUGAUGUGUUCCUAGUACAUAACUGUAUACAGACGUUGAUGCAAUGACAGGUAACAGCUGGAGUUGAAUCGUUUAUCGUCUCUAGAAAUUCGUUUAUGAGGGCUAUAAAGUAAUAUUUCCGUCUAUUAUUCUGCUGAAUAUGUUAUUUAUAAAUCAGUCAUUUUUAUCCAUUAACAUAUUUGUUUUAAUAUUAAGUGAUGCAGGAGAAAAUUCCGUUGUCGCCUUCGCUCGUGUUGUUGUAAGAAAAGUGGUGUUAUGGAUCAUGUUACGCUGGAUAACAUAGUUUGGGACAUUUCCCGACAUUCAACGCACCACAUAGUCAUUUGGAAGCUAGCCAAGCGACGAUACAUCUAACACCCCUAAGCACAACUGCAAUAGCCAAUAAUAACUUACUAGCACUACAAUAAUUCAUUUAUACUUCUACAGUAACAAAUUCAGUUUUAAGAUUUAUGUCCUAUUUCAUUUUUGGAGUGCAAAAAUGUUCUAAAGAUUAAGUGGUUUCUAUCGAUCAUGUUAUUUUUUUCCUCCUAAUUUUUUAGGUGUGUAAAGGUUGUCUUUAAUUUUCCUACGAUGAAAAGAGAUCUAAACAUUCGCGACUUUUUUUUUACCAUUUUUCAUAAUUAAUUUGUGCAAUUUUUGACUCUAAUGUAUAACUGGAGUGUCUUUAUCCAGUUUGAUCCUUGCUGAAAUAAAGAAUUUCGAAGGAAGACUUAUUCAGCAUGUGGUAACCCAAUAUGCCAAAGAGGAUAUACCUCUUAUGCCUUUAAUGAAGGAAGAUAUUCUCAUAAUAGUAAUUUUGCGUCGGCCAUUAGCAGGCGUGUUUAUAAGUCUGCACAACUCCCGAGCGGUUUACUGGUGACAAGAGUGACAAACGAUGCAGACCUGUCCACAAUCUACAACCCAUCCCGUAUUUGUUCUGCCUGGCUUGCUUUUCUCAUUAUCUAAACAUUUCUCCUAUUUUGUUAAUGAUAACUUGGUGCAAAGCCCUCUAAAACGGUAAGAGUAGCGUCGAAACGGAACUUCUCCACUUUCGUAACUCCGAUCGAUGAAACUUAUAUUGAUUCGACCGAACUUAAAUGCGUUCUAUAUACUUCCAUACAUUUGCAAGAUGUUUAUAGAGCGGGUUUAAGAGGUUAUUCUGCUGUACUACUUCUGUUAUGCUGUCUAGGGAACAAUCUCGCCCUUGCGCAUCUCUUCAAAAGUUGCCGCGUAAACUCAUAAAAAAAUUCCAGAAGAGAAGAAGAAAAACAUUUCUUCUUACCUUCCACUCCUGUGAUGCAAUGCUGCAGAGACGUUUUAGACUUAAAAAGUUAACCGCAAGCUAAACGAUUAAAUCAUAUUUUUAAUUUUAUUUGUGCAUACGUUGAGGGAAUAACUUGUUUUUCACGUAUGGGAUCUCUUACCGCCGUAGCUGCAUGAAAUUAAGUUUAUUUUUAAUGCGAAAACAUGACAUACUUUCUUUAUGCAUUAAAAAAUAAUGCAAGGCGGCGUAAGAAAGACAAAAAAAUAUUUCUGAACGAAUUAACCUACUCCGCAAAGAACGUAAACCAAGCAGAUACACAUUAUUUUGCUGCCGAUAGUAAUAAAACUUCUGCGACUUUGCCACCCAAUUUGUUUCUCGCUGGGAGGCAAUUCGUGAAGUUUUUAACCUCAGAUGAGAAAAUUUAUAAUAAACGAUGUUGACUGAUGGUGGAAACCAACCGCCAAGCAAGGUACACAAUACCGUGGCAAAAAUCUAUCCCGCCCAGAAUUAAGUAGCUCCAGAUCGUGUUCUGUUAUAGACUUUAUACAAAUAAUUUGAAUAAAAUAUUAUAAUUAUAAAAGAAAAAAUUAUCAUUUCAAAUUUCUGACCAUGAACACCAUCGAUUUUCUUAGAAUUAGAUUCGAAAUUAAUAAAAGUUUCGAGUUAUGGGCAAUAAAAUAUCUGGCGUAAUAUUAUAUCUUUAAAAUGCUUUCGGAAGUGGAUAAAAACAAAGUUUAAGCAGAAGUACUGAAAUCAUUUUAUAUAUAUAAGUUUUAUGCGUUAAUUAGGGAAAAAAAUUGUUCCUGUUACGUUCGUAACGCAAUUGUAGGUUUGCUGGUGUAAAUGUACACCAACUUAAGUGCAACAAGUCUUCCAAGCAAUCAGAAGGCAUUUAAGGAACAAAUCUCGUUUCCGCACUUCCCCGCACUUAAUGGAUCAAGUUUCUUCACCUGAUUGAUUCUGAUACAGCCGACACAGCCGAAUCGAAUGGCUUUUAAUACUACUUUAUUUGCAAACUACACCACCAACACCAAAUUUGAUUUUUUUUUAAAUUAAAGCACUAGAUUGGAAUCUGUUAGUGGGAGAAAUAAUUGUUAUCUAGAGAAGCAUUCAGAUGUGCCCAACCUCUUCCUCUUCUUUUUGUUUUCUUCUUUCACAUGUCAGUAUUUUCGUUAAACUUUUUUAAAUGGAAUUUUUUUGCUGAACUUUUAUAUUCUGGUUAGGAGAUGAUCUGCAGUUUAUGUUCCCUUGUUCUUUCGUAGAGACUCUUAAGUCUAUUAUCCUUAACCAAUUGGCUUCGUAUUAGCCUUCUCUUUUAUCCAUAAUCCCUCUUCUGAUACCUUAAUAUUAUUAUUGAAUAAAACCCUUCAAGAACAUCUCCUAGUGUCUCUAGCGUCGUGCAGUAUAUGCACUCAUAUUCAUGUGGACACGCAACUCGACAACAAAUGGAAAGAAAGACAUCAACAUUAAAGUAGAAAUUUCGAAUUACAAAAUGCAAACGUAUUACUGAGAAUCGAAACUGUAUUUUCGAUACUUUUCUAGUUACUCGAUUUAAAGUAAUUCUUGUUAAAAUAUUUUAUUUCUUAGACAAACGACGGUAAGGAUUUAAGCCAAUGAGACUUUUUUCAGCAAAAUUUCCUUUAAUGGACAAUACUUUUCCAUCUUUUUCUUUAAACGGACAUCUAAGUGACCGGAAAUAAUUGGUUAAUAUGCUCCAUAAACUCGAUUCAAGGACAGAUUACUAAGCAGUGGUUCCGCUGCUGCAUAUAACUUUUAUAUUCGAUUCUAUGGAUUUUUACAUGAAUUCAGAAUAAAAGUUGCGAUCUGUAACAAAUAUAUUUAAAGUUUUAUUCUCUUCUCAAAAGUGGUUUGGCUGUUGUGACUGAAAUGUCCUUUUUAUAUUUUUAUAUGUAUAUAUACAUACAUACUCUGAUCACGUGGUGUCUAGUUUUGGUCUCCAUGGCAACUAUGACCUUGAGGGAGAUCAAGGUAUAUGACCACAUCCUGUUUGCAGGUGUGCAAAUAUAUAUAUAUGUUCUUACUUCGCUUUUGUCAAUUGUUGAUAGUACUACCAUGUUUGCAAGUGAAGCGAAUUUUUUUUUUAAAGCGUCUUAAAUGUUGAGAAAGUUCGGGCAUUCUUUUAGACGUAAAUUUAUAAUAAAAUAUAAUUUUUUCUUGAGGGUGUGCUUAUGUUUUUCAAGUGUAAAUAGUUUUAAAAAUUAUUUUGUGUGCGUUUGUUUAUAAAUAUCAAACGUACUUUUGCGUCAAAUUAAAAUUUCAAUAAGCGUCUUGCAGUAUUAUGCAAUUUUGUAAUGUUGUAAGGGAUAAAAGCGAUUUAGUGACGUCACCGUAACGUUAAAAUCAAUUUAGAGACAUUUAAAGUUAGGAUAAAGGAGAAGGGAGGAAGGGAAAAAAAAACAGCAACGUGGAAAAUUUAUUAAAUUAUUAUUAUUAUUUUUUCCUUCUCUCGGAAUAAGGUUAGUCGCUCGUCCAUUUCCCGUCACGUCAGAAAAUGUCAAAAACUUUGCGAAAUUUUCCAUUUUUACCGAGAGUACUCAUCAAUCAUUUUCUGUCGAUGAUGUAGCAUUAAAGACUAAUAAUGAACCAUUAGAUUAAUACUGAUUUCUAUUCUGGUCACAAUUACACGAUAAAUAACGUAGAGAUUCUUCCGAAAAUGUUAUCGCUUAAUUAAUUAAAAAUUAAUCUAUAGUUUUAAUCAUCAAAAGUUUGAAAACUAGUUGUGUGCGCUAUCGUUUGUUGCCCAAAAGUGAUUUUUAGAUACUUUGAACUCGUUAUCAACAUUUCUAAACCGAUUUUUUUUUUCUUUUUACAACGAAAACCAUAUUCAAGUUGUGGUAUUUUUAUGUUUUCGAUGGAUCUUUCUUCC